UUGAACGCUGGCGGAAUGCUUUACACAUGCAAGUCGAGCGGCAGCGCGGGGCAACCUGGCGGCGAGCGGCGAACGGGUGAGUAAUGCAUCGGAACAUGUCCAAUCGUGGGGGAUAGCCCGGCGAAAGCCGGAUUAAUACCGCAUACGCCCGAGAGGGGAAAGCGGGGGACCGCAAGGCCUCGCGCGAUUGGGUUGGCCGAUGUCCGAUUAGCUAGUUGGUGGGGUAAAGGCCUACCAAGGCGACGAUCCGUAGCGGGUCUGAGAGGAUGAUCCGCCACACUGGGACUGAGACACGGCCCAGACUCCUACGGGAGGCAGCAGUGGGGAAUUUUGGACAAUGGGGGCAACCCUGAUCCAGCCAUGCCGCGUGAGUGAAGAAGGCCUUCGGGUUGUAAAGCUCUUUCAGACGGAAAGAAAACGCAUCGGUGAAUACCCGGUGUGGAUGACGGUACCGUAAGAAGAAGCACCGGCUAACUACGU
Molecule: ribosomal RNA, 480 nt
Filed under: uncultured bacterium
Lineage: Bacteria
Description: bacterial SSU rRNA
Rfam family: Bacterial small subunit ribosomal RNA
Source: RNAcentral